This 449-nucleotide ribosomal RNA is filed under the name Clostridioides difficile. RNAcentral's name for it is "partial 23S ribosomal RNA". It matches the Rfam family "Bacterial large subunit ribosomal RNA", at positions 1562 to 2023 of the family's 2925-position model. Lineage: Bacteria; Bacillati; Bacillota; Clostridia; Peptostreptococcales; Peptostreptococcaceae. The record is from RNAcentral.
UGUGAUGGGGAGCGAAAUUUAGUAGCGAAGUAGCUGAUUUCACACUGUCAAGAAAAGUCUCUAUCGAGGUUAAAGGUACCCGUACCGCAAACCGACACAGGUGGGUGAGGAGAGUAUCCUAAGGCCAGCGAGAGAACUGUUGUUAAGGAACUCGGCAAAAUGACCCCGUAACUUAGGGAUAAGGGGUGCCACCAUCAGGUGGCCGCAGAGAAUAGGCCCAAGCGACUGUUUACCAAAAACAUAGGUUUCUGCUAAGUCGCAAGACGAUGUAUAGGGGCUGACGCCUGCCCGGUGCUGGAAGGUUAAGGGGAUCUGUUAGAGCAAUCGAAGCAGUGAACUUAAGCCCCAGUAAACGGCGGCCGUAACUAUAACGGUCCUAAGGUAGCGAAAUUCCUUGUCGGGUAAGUUCCGACCCGCACGAAAGGCGUAACGAUUUGGGCACUGUCUCA